GUGGUAGGGACGAAUCUGUAGAGUCCAUGGACUAGGAGAGAGAUGCAAAGAGAGCUCUCAAUAGAUGCUAUGGAGGAGUACUCAAAGACUAACCGUGGGAGUGUGGGGCCAGGGCUCAGAAAAGGCUUCCUGGGGUAUUGAUAACUGCAUCUUGAGGACGGCAAGCAGGGUGGCUGCCCAGGCAAAGGCCCAGAGCAUUAAGAUAACAGGGAACCUUUUAUAGGCAGGUACGAGUCAGGCAGCUCCUCAGGAUGCUGGGCUGGAGCGGCGAGAGCUGGGGCUUGGUUCAGUCAAUGGAGGACCAGCCCUGUAAGAUUUGGAAGUGCAACACAGAAGCUCCAGGAAGGAUCCCUAGCUUCAGGGGAAUUUUGAUUCUCUCAGAGAGAAUAUUGUUCUUUCAUAAUAUCAUCUGCUUUGGAAAGAGUAUUCAAUUCCACAAUGCCAACAAUGAUCGCAUAGUACCUCUGUGGAGGGCAAGACCAACAUGAGCAGCAGAAGCCCUGGAGGGCUUCCUGGAGGAGGUGACUUUAGCGACACCUUCAAAACCAUGACAACGUGCACCUGGGUCUUUCUGAGGAGGACAGUGAACACUAGGAGAGGAGGGAAGUGAAAGGAGAAGCCGGGCAUGGGUGGGACUAGGCCAGAGCCCAGUGUGGUGACCACAGGGCCUCAGCAGUGCUAGGUAGACAGUGGGGUGUCACACUGCAGAGCCCCCAGAAGCCAAACAGAGGAGGCUAACUUUGAACAGAGCGGAGAGUCACCAUGGUGGUCAUCUUGAACAGGAGGGUGUUUCUAAAAAAGGGAGGUUUGGGGGAUUGCCCUGACAGAAAAUUGGAGAUGGGGGAGGUUCUUUUAAUAUGGUGAGGACAAGGAGUGGCUGGAACUGAAGCAUGUCUAGGACAAGGGCUGUUUUGUCUCUUGCACAAAUCCUGUGUUUAGUACCUGCAGUCUGCUCGUUAAUAAAGUGUAUGCUUAAGUUAAUGACAUUCAUUUUUAACCCUGGUCUCAGGCCAAUCAUGUUCACAGCCAAGGCCAUUUCCUAACAUUCGUAACUCCCUAAAGAAUAAAAUGAAGGAAG
Molecule: long non-coding RNA, 1078 nt
Filed under: Homo sapiens (human)
Lineage: Eukaryota; Metazoa; Chordata; Mammalia; Primates; Hominidae
Description: HSALNT0217779
Source: RNAcentral